CCUGCGAAAAUUACUUGGAUAUUAUUUUUCUAAAAAUAUCGUGGAAAUAAGCUUUUCAGUUAUUCUGUUGUGCAUGGAUUGGAAGUCAUACAACACUAAGGCUUUCUAACAAAUGCAACAAUUGCAUUUGUGAAAAGAAUUAAUCAGCUGUUUGAUGUUUUAAACAACAAUUAUCCAAUCAGUCCAUUAAGACAUGAAUCAGAGGACUUGAUAUAGUGAUGGAAGAUGCAAUUAAAUGACUUGAUCAGUGGGAAGAUUUAAUUAAUAACAGCUGUUGAAAAUAAUGUAAGAAAAAAGAAUGGGGCUUUCUUAGAAAGCAGACUUGAAAAUCUGAGGUUAACAUUGGCCAGCAUUCUGGAAUUGUCAAAGUAGCUUUUGUCACAGAAUGUAUGUUAUGUUUUAACUGAUCUUUUAAUCAAGAUCCACUUGAGGUAUAUAUCUGGAUAAUUGUGUAAGUUUAUACAAUCUUAAUGUAAAUAUUUUGACUUCAUAAGUUAAACUUGUAUGAUCUUCCUCUAAAGUUAAUGGGCAUUUUUACAAUCCCCAGACUCUUCAAAUAGAACAUGUAUUAUAUUUACUUCUAAAUAGCAGAUGCUGUCGUCCAUAACCAACCUUACGAAAAUGCAAAGUCUCACCUUCGAUAUUCUGAAAGAAUUAAUUACAUACAAAAUAUUUUAAAACUAAAAGAAUCAGUUCAAAUACUCUUUCAGAGGAUGAAUUUUGAUCGUAGGCAUCGAAUAAAGAUGCUGAAAAUAGGAAUGGGGAGGAGGACAGGUUGUAAAAAGGCAAACAAUACUCUAUCCAUUUGACAACUUAACCAGAUUAGUGUUUUCUUAUCAUCACUUCAAUCAGAGAUCCCCCUAUACCAGACUAAAUUGAAAAAUGUAUUCAUGUCAAAAAGUUCUCAUGCUUUUUUGGCAUUCUAUCCUACUGAUGAUCUUUCAAAUACUGGCAUUAGGUAGUCAACUGCCAACAUGUUCGUGAGAUCCAAAAUUAAAUCAAAUUUCACUACUAAAUGAACUGUAACAAAAAAAAUUUUAUUAUACAUGGUCAGCCAUUGUAUCAUACAUCCAUACUCUUUGGUGAUGAAAGUUUGUUGCCUUGUCUAUCUGUGUACUCUUUACAAAUGUUGCCAGCCAACUCCAGUUAGGAAUAGUAUUGCCAGACAGUCUUCUGAAUCUCUGGCAGUGGUGGCCAAGCUACUACCCCACCAGUGUUUG
Molecule: long non-coding RNA, 1220 nt
Filed under: Centruroides sculpturatus (bark scorpion)
Lineage: Eukaryota; Metazoa; Arthropoda; Arachnida; Scorpiones; Buthidae
Description: uncharacterized LOC111638221, transcript variant X1
Source: RNAcentral